This 638-nucleotide ribosomal RNA is filed under the name Rhagophthalmidae sp. UPOL RK0370. RNAcentral's name for it is "eukaryotic LSU rRNA". It matches the Rfam family "Eukaryotic large subunit ribosomal RNA", at positions 670 to 1259 of the family's 3401-position model. The record is from RNAcentral. Lineage: Eukaryota; Metazoa; Arthropoda; Insecta; Coleoptera; Rhagophthalmidae. RNAcentral also lists the same sequence under 1 other name.
GGAGUCUAGCAUGUGCGCGAGUCAUUGGGACCGCGACUAAACCUAAAGGCGAAAUGAAAGUGAAGGCGCGCGCUCUAGGGCGCGCGCCGAGGGAGGACGGUCGACGCUCGUCGCCGACCAGCACUCCCGGGGCGUCUCGUUCUCAUCGCGAGAAGAGGCGCACCCAGAGCGUACACGCUGGGACCCGAAAGAUGGUGAACUAUGCCUGGUCAGGACGAAGUCAGGGGAAACCCUGAUGGAGGUCCGUAGCGAUUCUGACGUGCAAAUCGAUCGUCGGAACUGGGUAUAGGGGCGAAAGACUAAUCGAACCAUCUAGUAGCUGGUUCCCUCCGAAGUUUCCCUCAGGAUAGCUGGCGCUCGUUUAGCGCGCGAGUCUCAUCCGGUAAAGCGAAUGAUUAGAGGCAUUGGGGUCGAAACGGCCUCAACCUAUUCUCAAACUUUAAAUGGGUGAGAUCUCCGGCUUGCUUGAACGUUGAAGCCGCGAGAUCGGAUCUAGAGUGCCAAGUGGGCCAUUUUUGGUAAGCAGAACUGGCGCUGUGGGAUGAACCAAACGCCGGAGUUAAAGCGCCAAAAUCGACGCUUAUGGGAUACCAUGAAAGGCGUUGGUAACUUAAGACAGCAGGACGGUGGCCAUGGAA